UAGGCUGAUGAGCUCCACCUGUGGACUUGGUCAGGGGCUGCAGCGAAGGACAGAGAGUUGAGAGGAAUACCAUAGACAGGACAUACAUAAAACUACUUCAGCCAAACCAUUGAGUGGUUUCUAAACCAAAACUUUACACUUGGGUCUCCACUCAGUCGGCAAUUUGAUGGAGCUUCUUGGAGAAACCAGAUGCGAGGCUCCUGCCAUGACAAUGAACACUCAGUGAAAUGCGAGGGCACGGCGUAUGGUGUAGCAGUACAGCGUGCGACCCAUGUAGGCCUGGAUCCUCGACGCAGAUGUUCCGGUUUUAAUCCCCAACCCUGCUUUUUAGAUCCUGACCUCCACAAUCUGAAAAACAUCCCACAGAAGAUGCAGCUGCUAAAAUACUGUCCCAUCCAAACUGCUUCCUGAUGAUAUUACUGAUCACAUCCUGGUUUCUCCAAACUUCAAUUACAAUUUAUCUGCAGCCAGCUGGUAGCAAAGAGGUUCUCCUUCAGAACAAAAGGUUUGUUUUGUAUUUCUGGUAUACUCCCAUUUUUACUCAUCUCUUGUGUGUAUAUAUAUAUAUAUAUAUAUAUAUAUAUAUAUUUUUUUUUUUUUUUUUUUUUUACAUUUUACCACAGUAUUAGACAUCUUUAAAACAUGUAUUGAUGUAUUUAAAUGUUCUUUUAGGGAAUAAAUCUACAAACCUUACGCACAAUUUAAAAUUCAUACCUAUCUAGCAUUUGAUCUAGCAUUCUCAAUACAGAGAUGGGCUUUGCCAGUUAUCGGUCAUUUCAUAGUUCUGUUUUGGCCGUUUUGGAAGCGAUGUUUUUCAGGUACAAAAACAUGCAGUCAGCUGCAGGAUGACAAGCCAGGCUUCUGGAAACCUAAGAGCUACUAGAAAGGUCUACAUUUGGGGGUGGACAGUUCUGGUCGUCAAAGGCAGGUGUCCUGUGUCAGACAUUUGAAACUGCUUGAACAUAGCUGAGUUAAAUGACUGCAUUGUUAGCAGGCCCACGCCAAACUUGAUGACAGGCUGAGGAAGGAAUUUAAUGAUCAAUCAGGUGUUGGAGCAGAGACACGUCUAAAACAUCUGAAACCAGCCCUUGAGGACUGAAGUUGCCCACCUCUAGUCUGCAUUCUCAAGGGAAUGACGUUAAUAAUGCUAACUGUGCUAAUCACUAAUAUAAGAUGCUUAAGAUUUUACAAUGUCAACUAUAAAUAAUUUUGUCACAUAAACCCUGUUUUACAGUGCAUGCUCUGUCUCACACACAGUGUGACAUCACAUCUGCUAAUAAUAUUCAUACGAUUUUAUGACAGCACACAGCAGGAGGGCUACAAUGAAAUAUUAUGAAGAUUUUAACUAUAAUUAGAGAAAGUGGAAUCUGCUAACAUUUGUAUCAUUUGAUUGAAGCUAUAGAUCAGAAUUCAGUCAAACUCUGAUUGGGGGAUUUCUAAUCCUGGCUGUUAGAAGCUCUGUUGAAGUACAAUUUACUAGUUCAUAGCAUAGCGAUGCUGAUUGAAUAAACUGGGUGGAAGACACAACUCACUGAUCUUUGCACCACAAUCAUCCUGUGAGUCAAAAACUAAGCAUUUUCUAAGUUAUAACACCAAGGUGUGUGUAAUCUG
This is a long non-coding RNA of Girardinichthys multiradiatus, 1611 nucleotides long. RefSeq lists it as uncharacterized. The transcript has 4 exons. The record is from RefSeq and is a predicted model, not a curated record. NCBI's taxonomy places the organism in Eukaryota, Metazoa, Chordata, Actinopteri, Cyprinodontiformes, Goodeidae.